CAGUGGCUUGUCGCAACUUAAACUGCUUAGCAUCGAUUGGCUGCACUUAUUGACAUUUUAUGCUUAAGGACAUGCUUAAUAUCCACAACGUGCC
This is a small nucleolar RNA of Drosophila melanogaster (fruit fly), 94 nucleotides long. Lineage: Eukaryota; Metazoa; Arthropoda; Insecta; Diptera; Drosophilidae. The record is from Ensembl.